This 468-nucleotide ribosomal RNA is filed under the name uncultured bacterium. RNAcentral describes it as "partial 16S ribosomal RNA". It matches the Rfam family "Bacterial small subunit ribosomal RNA", at positions 28 to 507 of the family's 1533-position model. The record is from RNAcentral.
GACGAACGCUGGCGGCGUGCUUAACACAUGCAAGUCGAACGGAAACACCCUGCUUUUGUGGGCUGCUCGAUUGGCGAACGCGUGAGUAACACGUGAGUAACCUACCCUUGACUUUGGUGUAACUUCAGGAAGCGAGAGUUACGACCAUAUAGGAUCUCCUGCUCCAUUGUGGGGAUGGGAAAUUUUAAGCGGGUGGGGAUGAACGCGCGGCUGAUGAACUUGUUGGUUGGGGAGUGGCUUACCAAGGCUUGGACGGGUAGCCGGCCUGAGAGGGUGAACGGCCACAUUGGGACUGAGAUACGGACCAGAGGCCUACGGGAGGCAGUGGUGGGGAAUCUUGCACAGUGGGCGGAAGUCUGAUGCAGAAACGUCGCGUGCGGGAUGACGGCCUGUGGGUUGUAAACAGCAUUCGCCUGUGACGAAGCGUGAGUGACGGUAAUGGGUAAAGAAGCACCGGCUAACUACGUG